GGGGAAUAUUGCACAAUGGGGGAAACCCUGAUGCAGCGACGCCGCGUGAGCGAGGAAGUAUUUCGGUAUGUAAAGCUCUGUCAGCAGGGAAGAAUUUAUGACGGUACCUGACUAAGAAGCCCCGGCUAACUACGUGCCAGCAGCCGCGGUAAUACGUAGGGGGCAAGCGUUAUCCGGAUUUACUGGGUGUAAAGGGAGCGUAGACGGCGUAUCAAGUCUGAUGCGAAAGGCAGGGGCUCAACCCCUGGACUGCAUUGGAAACUGGUAUGCUUGAGUGCCGGAGGGGUAAGCGGAAUUCCUAGUGUAGCGGUGAAAUGCGUAGAUAUUAGGAGGAACACCAGUGGCGAAGGCGGCUUACUGGACGGUAACUGACGUUGAGGCUCGAAAGCGUGGGGAGCAAACAGG
Molecule: ribosomal RNA, 405 nt
Filed under: uncultured bacterium
Lineage: Bacteria
Description: bacterial SSU rRNA
Rfam family: Bacterial small subunit ribosomal RNA
Source: RNAcentral